Molecule: small RNA, 434 nt
Filed under: Mycosphaerella sp. 1550 FbLB
Lineage: Eukaryota; Fungi; Ascomycota; Dothideomycetes; Mycosphaerellales; Mycosphaerellaceae
Description: eukaryotic LSU rRNA
Rfam family: 5.8S ribosomal RNA (bases 136-289)
Source: RNAcentral
GGGCUCCGGGUCGACCUCCACCUUUGUGAACCAAUCUUGUUGCUUCGGGGGCGACCCUGCCGCUUCGGCGGUGCGGCGCCCCCGGAGGCCAUCAAACACUGCAUCAUUGCGUCCGAGUAAAAGUAAAUGAAACAAAACUUUCAACAACGGAUCUCUUGGUUCCAGCAUCUAUGAAGAACGCAACGAAAUGCGAUAAGUAAUGUGAAUUGCAGAAUUCAGUGAAUCAUCGAAUCUUUGAACGCACAUUGCGCCCUCUGGUAUUCCGGGGGGCAUGCCUGUUCAAGCGUCAUUUCACCACUCAAGCCUGGCUUGGUAUUGGGCGUCGCGGUGCCGCGCGCCUUAAAGUCUUCCGGCUGAGCUGUCCGUCUCUAAGCGUUGUGGCAACUAUUCGCUUCGGAGGCCGGGCGGCCGCGGCCGUUAAAUCUUUCACAAGG